This 1232-nucleotide ribosomal RNA is filed under the name denitrifying bacterium enrichment culture clone NOB_2_C12. Its description in RNAcentral is "partial 16S ribosomal RNA". It matches the Rfam family "Bacterial small subunit ribosomal RNA", at positions 8 to 1203 of the family's 1533-position model. The record is from RNAcentral.
AGAGUUUGAUCCUGGCUCAGGACGAACGCUGGCGGCGUGCCUAACACAUGCAAGUCAACUUGACGGAAGGAGCAAUCUGACCGUAGAGUGGCGCACGGGUGCGUAACGCGUAAGUAACUUGCCCCAAGGUAAGGAAUAACGUCGAGAAAUCGGCGCUAAUACCUCAUAAUGCACCGGAUCCGCGUGGAUAUGUUGUUAAAGGUUUACCGCCUUGGGAUAGGCUUGCGUCUGAUUAGCUAGUUGGUGUGGUAACGGCACACCAAGGCUACGAUCAGUAACUGGUCUGAGAGGAUGAUCAGUCACACUGGAACUGAGACACGGUCCAGACUCCUACGGGAGGCAGCAGUGAGGAAUAUUGGGCAAUGCUCGAAAGAGUGACCCAGCAACGCCGCGUGGAGGAUGAAGGUAUUCUAUAUCGUAAACUCCUGUGAGAGCAGACGAAAGACAGAUUAUUAAUCUGGAUGACUGUAUGCUCAGAGGAAGCCCCGGCUAACUACGUGCCAGCAGCCGCGGUAAUACGUAGGGGGCAAGCGUUGUCCGGAUUCACUGGGUGUAAAGGGCGCGUAGGCGGGAUAACAAGUCAGUGGUGAAAUCUUGCAGCUCAACUGCAAAACUGCCAUUGAUACUGCUGUUCUUGAAUGUGGAAGAGAGAGGCGGAAUUCCAGGUGUAGUAGUGAAAUACGUAGAUAUCUGGAAGAACACCAAUUGCGGAGGCUGCUUCUUGGUCCAUUAUUGACGCUGAGGCGCGAAAGCGUGGGGAGCAAACAGGGAUUAGAUACCCUGGGUAGUCCACGCUGUAAACGAUGAUCACUCGCUGUUUGGCGAUAUACAGUCAGUGGCUAAAGCGAAAGUGAUAAGUGAUCACCUGGGGAGUACGACCGCAAGGUUGAAACUCAAGGAAUUGACGGGGGCCCGCACAAGCGGAGGAGCAUGUGGUUUAUUUCGAUGAAUACCCGAGGAAACCUUUACCAGGGGCUCGAACGUUCAGCGAUUUAACGGGGAAACCGGGAAAUCCUUUCGGGGCCGGUGAACGAAGGUGCUGCCAUGGUUGUCGUCAACUCUGUGCCGUGAAGGGGUCAGGGUUAAAGUCCUAAUAAACGAGGGGCAACCUCCUUAUUCCUUUAGUUUGCCAUUCAAGGUUAAAGCCUGGCAACCUCUACGGGGAGACCUGCCUUACGCAGAGUUAAGAAGCAAAGUGUGGGGGGAAUACAUGCUCCAAAAAUCAGCACCAG